Non-coding RNA from Vicia faba (fava bean), 321 nucleotides. The record is from the annotation of a GenBank genome assembly. NCBI's taxonomy places the organism in Eukaryota, Viridiplantae, Streptophyta, Magnoliopsida, Fabales, Fabaceae.
GAACCUCACCACUUCCAUUCCAAAACCUUGAAAUUCCAUCGACCAAUUUCACCCCUCUUAUCUUUGAAUCUGCAUACAUCAAACACCGGUUCCGCCAGCGACCUCCUCCGUAAUAUACCCUCUCCAUCAUCAUCAAGUACGACUAUUCCCUUCUCCCUGCUUCAACCUCCUUUAUGGUCAAUCUCCUCAACCAUAAAUCCCUCUAUUAUCACAUCUAUUAGCAUCCUCACAACAUCAACCUUCCUUCACACUUCCUCAUCGCCAUCAUCAUUCUCCAACCCAACGAGAUCUCUCUUCCACACAUCACAUCUCUUCAUCUAG